GAUGAACGCUAGCGGGAGGCCUAACACAUGCAAGCCGAGCGGUAGAGUCUCUUCGGAGACUUGAGAGCGGCGCACGGGUGCGGAACACGUGUGCAACCUGCCUUUAUCUGGGGGAUAGCCUUUCGAAGGGAAGAUUAAUACCCCAUAAUAUACUGGAUGGCAUCAUCUGGUAUUGAAAACUCCGGUGGAUAGAGAUGGGCACGCGCAAGAUUAGAUAGUUGGUGAGGUAACGGCUCACCAAGUCAGCGAUCUUUAGGGGGCCUGAGAGGGUGAUCCCCCACACUGGUACUGAGACACGGACCAGACUCCUACGGGAGGCAGCAGUGAGGAAUAUUGGACAAUGGGUGAGAGCCUGAUCCAGCCAUCCCGCGUGAAGGACGACGGCCCUAUGGGUUGUAAACUUCUUUUGUAUAGGGAUAAACCUAGAUACGUGUAUUUAGCUGAAGGUACUAUACGAAUAAGCACCGGCUAACUCCGUG
This 479-nucleotide ribosomal RNA is filed under the name uncultured bacterium. RNAcentral describes it as "partial 16S ribosomal RNA". It matches the Rfam family "Bacterial small subunit ribosomal RNA", at positions 28 to 507 of the family's 1533-position model. The record is from RNAcentral.